RNAcentral lists this long non-coding RNA (895 nucleotides) under Mus spicilegus (steppe mouse). RNAcentral's name for it is "lncRNA (ENSMSIG00000008590.1)". Lineage: Eukaryota; Metazoa; Chordata; Mammalia; Rodentia; Muridae. The record is from RNAcentral.
GUUGGUUUCGUUACAGGAUUUUCAAGUGUCUAGACCAUGCGCUUAGAUCACCUUUACCCUCCUGUCUAUGGUCUAUUCUCUUUAUUUGUCUAUCCCCUAGUCCCCUUCCUCUUUAUCCAUACCUAUAUCUGUAUCCAUUCUAGGCGCGGUAUAUGAGAGGAAACAUUUGAUAUUUGUCUUUCUGUGUCUGGCCUACUUUAUUCUGUGCUUCAGCACUCUGGGAUCUCAACACACUCAUCAGAGGGUCUUGGUGUAUCUCUCAAAACUUGUUGCUGACACUGGACACCUAUGUUAAUACAGCUUGUGCCCCCCCCCUUCCUCAUUGACCCUAGCUCAUUGAUUUUCCUGGGUCUUGAUUCUGCAGAAUCAGGAUCACACUGGACUGCUCUCCCGGGUGCCUUGCAGGAGUUCAGCACUGACCUAGCUCAUGUUUAAAUAUGUCUGUCUAUUAACCUCCCUCUGGUAACUUCUUUCUCCCCCUCCAGAAGUCUUGCCCACCUGGUCACCGGCAUCAGACCCCCUGGCCGCACUUGUUCUGGCUCUCUGCCAGGCACACUCUCCAGCCAGGUGCCUGGCCCUCAGCAGACGAAGCUUUGGAAACUCCUAGGGUUGUCCCUCCGACGAGCCUGCAGCCAGUCCAGGGACCCGGGACUCGCUCUGCACAGACAGGAAAUUGGGACUGAGCCUACCCCACAGAAGACAAAGGAAGACACACACCUCCUCCUACAUUUUCCUGCUUGAAGAGGUCAGAUUUCCAGUUUUCCCAGUGGCUCUUGGGUGGUUUCAACUGGACUGGCCCCAGUAGGCCUGUUGGAAGUGUCUGCCACUUGGUUAAUUGCCCCACCAGAAGGGCAUGAGGACAGAAGGUCAGAGCUCCUAGCCUGGUUCCUUGCCU